This is a long non-coding RNA of Stegostoma tigrinum, 1491 nucleotides long. RefSeq lists it as uncharacterized. The record is from RefSeq and is a predicted model, not a curated record. NCBI's taxonomy places the organism in Eukaryota, Metazoa, Chordata, Chondrichthyes, Orectolobiformes, Stegostomatidae. The transcript has 3 exons.
GUUCAUCCAGCUUCGCAUUUUAUUGCCUGCAUUUUCUGAUUGGUUAGGGUGCUCGCUGUACUCCGUUUUCUCUACUUGGUUGGAGGACCGGCUAUACGUCACGAUCUUCCAGCCCCGCCCCUUACAACCUGUUGCUCGGAGCGUCAUCAACAAGUUGGGCAGCUGUUGGAGCAUGCGCAUAGUUAGUUGGAAUUGUGAGCAUGGCUGCUUUAUGUGGCUGUUGGAAAGUAAUGUUCGUCCAUCACAUCCAUAGACGAUGAGACCACGUGGCAGCAAGCAAUAAAUGGAGGAUGCAGGUGUCAGGUUCGUUUUCGGACACCCUCACAGACUUAAUGCAAUAACAAGACACUGACCUGUUUAGAAAAACACAAAUCCUUUUAUUACCAAGCAAGUACAAGCUGUGGAGAAUCACUGAACUUAACCCGGCACAGAGUGCACAGUCUCCUUCUGACAACAAAUGGCCACAAAUCGAUCAAAGAUGAAAGUGACGGUGAACCAGACAGAACAGUCAGUGGCUGCAUAAAGCAGGACGGCGUAGAUAUUACACACGGGGAUGAACAACAGGAAAUAAAACUGUUCCAGAUAAACAAUGGGAAUGUGUCUCAAUAUCAGGUCGAGGAUAAUGACCAGUAGAUCCGCCACUGCCAUGGCCCCCAGGUAACGUUUGACACAUGGAGACAAUCCACAAUCUUUAUAAAGCAGGACGUAGAUCGUCACUACGUUAACUGUGAGGAAGGAGAACAAAUAAAUUAUACAUCAGCCUGGAGGAAAAGUUACCAGUUUGACUGAGGACCCAGUGGCAUUUUCAAAUGUGUCACUGAUUUAUUGGGGAAAAAAAACUCAAAUAACAAAUAGUAAUUUCUCAAUUUUGUUUGCGAGAAACGCAACGUGAAACACAAGAAGCACUCCCACCCGAAACACACAGACACACAUCAUUAAGAACGGAUGUUUUCUGGAACAUUCCCGCAGACUCGAUCACUCGAGCGCAGUCACAGGUCACUUCUUCACAGUUCCUGAUACAGAGGGUGAAGACGUUGCAUUCCUGAAGGAUUCUCUCCCAGUUCCUUGAAGACAAACAGAGUAUAAAAAAAUCUGUCUGUUCGUCUAAAUUGUGGUCAAUUUUCAGUGUGAAGAAACAUGAACACAGGGAAAAUGUAUUCACCCCUUUAACUCCCUGAGGGGAUUUUGAAACAGUAUCUCCUUCUCCCUGCAACGGGAUCAUUUCCCUCAGGAUCUUAUCUUUUGUUCAAUUAACUGACAUCCAACCAUUCACCAAUAAUGUCAGUUACAGAAUGUUCUGGGGAAUGUCAGUUACAGAAUGUUCCAGGGAAUGUCGGUUACAGAAUGUUCCGGUGAAUUUCGGUUAUGGAAUGUGAUGGAAUUAUAAAGACCCACAUCACGAAGGCCCUUCUGUCCAUCAGUUUUGGUGAGACCCACUCAGCCUCGUGGUGGAAAUCUCUCCCCAAACUCAACACAACUGGCAAACACAAA